Molecule: small nuclear RNA, 107 nt
Organism: Dromiciops gliroides (monito del monte)
Lineage: Eukaryota; Metazoa; Chordata; Mammalia; Microbiotheria; Microbiotheriidae
Source: RefSeq, a predicted model, not a curated record
GUGCUCACCUCAAGAGCACAUAUAUGAAAACAGGAACAAUAUUGAAAAGAUUAGCAUGCCCCCUAUCUGAGGGUGACAAUCAAAUUUCUGAAGGAUUCCAUAUUUUU